This is a non-coding RNA of Pelobates cultripes (western spadefoot toad), 236 nucleotides long. Lineage: Eukaryota; Metazoa; Chordata; Amphibia; Anura; Pelobatidae. The record is from the annotation of a GenBank genome assembly.
AGAAAUAAUAUCCUGUGACAACCAAUGUUACUCCAUGUAUAUAUAAAUCCCUAUAUAAAUCCAACUUGCUUAUUAACAAUAAUGCUAAACUGCAUUAAUAUAUCUGAGAGUACAGAUUACCAUCUGAAAGAUUUUUGAAAAAAAUGCAAAAGAGAGAGAAAUCAAUAAAGAAAUGUAUAUACAGUCCCAGUGUGUACACACUAUAAUGUUUUGGGUGGAUCUCACCAAAAUUUCCG